Molecule: transfer RNA, 73 nt
Filed under: Myxococcales bacterium
Lineage: Bacteria; Pseudomonadati; Myxococcota; Myxococcia; Myxococcales
Description: tRNA-Glu
Rfam family: tRNA
About the family: Transfer RNA (tRNA) molecules are approximately 80 nucleotides in length. Their secondary structure includes four short double-helical elements and three loops (D, anti-codon, and T loops).
Source: RNAcentral
GCGGGUGUCGUCCAACAGGUCAGGACACCGGAACCUCACUCCGGAAACGACGGUUCGACUCCGUCCACCCGUA